AGAAAACGUUGUCCCUUUCGACGCCACCGAACAUCCUUAAAGCAAGUGCGUGUACAUGUGGGCCAAGGAGGAUAACAAAACAAUAUUUUUAGAUACUUUUUUAAUUAAUAAGAAUAAAUUAUUUAUAUUUUAUUAGGAAAUAAUGAAAUUCACAUUCAUACAGUACAGAUCUAAUAAAUUAUUGUACCAAAAAACAAACAUCUAUUUAGAAAAUCUUAUCUUCUAAAUGGAUCACACACCUCAAAUAGAUACAUUUGAAAAAAA
RNAcentral lists this long non-coding RNA (264 nucleotides) under Lathyrus oleraceus (garden pea). RNAcentral's name for it is "Pisum sativum (pea) long non-coding RNA (PSAT_LNC036033)". Lineage: Eukaryota; Viridiplantae; Streptophyta; Magnoliopsida; Fabales; Fabaceae. The record is from RNAcentral.